UACGGGGGGGGCAAGCGUUGUUCGGAAUUACUGGGCGUAAAGGGCUGGUAGGCGGCCAACUAAGUCGGAUGUGAAAUCCCCAGGCUUAACCUGGGAACUGCAUCCGAUACUGGUCGGCUUGAAUCCGGGAGAGGGAUGCAGAAUUCCAGGUGUAGCGGUGAAAUGCGUAGAUAUCUGGAGGAACACCCGUGGCGAAAGCGGCGCGCUGGACCACUACUGACGCUGAAGAACGAAAGCUAGGGGAGCAAACAGG
This 253-nucleotide ribosomal RNA is filed under the name uncultured bacterium. RNAcentral's name for it is "partial 16S ribosomal RNA". It matches the Rfam family "Bacterial small subunit ribosomal RNA", at positions 524 to 776 of the family's 1533-position model. The record is from RNAcentral.